UACGUAGGGGGCAAGCGUUGUCCGGAAUCACUGGGCGUAAAGGGCGCGUAGGUGGCGACCCAAGUCAAUGGUGAAAGCUCGUCGCUCAACGACGAGUCGGCCACUGAUACUGGGUUGCUCGAGCACUGUAGAGGCUCAUGGAAUUCCGGGUGUAGCGAUGGAAUGCGUAGAGAUCCGGAAGAACACCGGUGGCGAAGGCGGUGAGCUGGGCAGUUGCUGACACUGAGGCGCGACAGCGUGGGGAGCAAACAGG
RNAcentral lists this ribosomal RNA (253 nucleotides) under uncultured bacterium. Its description in RNAcentral is "partial 16S ribosomal RNA". It matches the Rfam family "Bacterial small subunit ribosomal RNA", at positions 524 to 776 of the family's 1533-position model. The record is from RNAcentral.